Molecule: long non-coding RNA, 760 nt
Filed under: Gossypium barbadense (sea-island cotton)
Lineage: Eukaryota; Viridiplantae; Streptophyta; Magnoliopsida; Malvales; Malvaceae
Description: long non-coding RNA (GBAR_LNC009765)
Source: RNAcentral
UGAAUGCUUCUACGUUUUCCGAUUUAACAGGCACUCUCAUUUGCCUCAAUUUGUUGGUGACAAUUUGGAUUUGGAUCUAUGAUAAGCUACGUUGAGGAUGUCAUAAAAUAUUUGUACAAGCCCAUUCGGCCCCAGCCCAAAUACAAACACUAACCCAACCCAAAAAAAUUAGACCCUAAAUCCCACUUAGCCUCACCUAGAACCCUCUGGCCGUCUGCCACCUCCUGCCUGCUGCAGCCACCGCCCUCGUCACUGUGCCACCGCCCAAAAUUGUACCUGCAAGCAUUAAACGAGACAAGACAGAACAAGAAGCAAGUUGUAAACGCCUAUAAAAGGCUGAAUCCAUUACCUUUUGUACAUUCGGACAUUUUUCAAAUACAAAAAAAGAACAUAGAUUCAAGCAAAAAAAAAGCAUUAUUAGCCUUCAAGAAAUAAAAAAAAGCAUCCAAACAGACCAAAAGCCCUCAAGAACAGAAGCCGUAGUCCUAAGGUGGUUAGUUUUAUUUUUUUCUUUCUUUUUCGUUGAUAUUUCAUGGCCAAUCGAUCUAUUUUAUACCCAUAUAUGUGUGAAUAGGCAAUAUAUACAAAAGAAAAGUGAAUACAUUUUAAAACACACAAAAAAAGAGAGAAAUUUUUUUAUACCUGCGGCGAUUUCCGGCCACCGUACGGAGACACGGCGGAGCGAUGGCCGGAGUCCUCGCCGGCAUAUGGACCUGCAGAGAAAAUAAAAAGCUCAGUUUUCUUUUUUUUUCUUAACAGA